Non-coding RNA from Podarcis lilfordi (Lilford's wall lizard), 312 nucleotides. The record is from the annotation of a GenBank genome assembly. Lineage: Eukaryota; Metazoa; Chordata; Lepidosauria; Squamata; Lacertidae.
GAGGGGAGUAAAAGAUAGAGUGGGAGGUUUUGAAAGUCAGUUGAGGUUUGGGAGUUGGGAGUUGAGGGUUGUCAGUUGGGAGUUGAGGCUUGGGUGUUGGAGAAGGAAGAGGGAGGCUUAGGUGUGGGUUGGUAGAGUUGUAUUGUGAGAGAGUGAGAGGAAUUGUUAGGUUGAGUCAGAUAGAUAGUUGGAAUAAUCAGUUUGGAGUUGUUAGGAACUAAGAUUAGGAAACUGACAAGAGAAAAAUAAACUGUAACCAUACGCUUGUUCCUGCAUUUAAAAAUAAAGUUGAUUAUUUGUCUAUGUUAACAA